This 205-nucleotide long non-coding RNA is filed under the name Elaeis guineensis (African oil palm). RNAcentral's name for it is "long non-coding RNA (EGUI_LNC000947)". Lineage: Eukaryota; Viridiplantae; Streptophyta; Magnoliopsida; Arecales; Arecaceae. The record is from RNAcentral.
UAGUUCAAUUUGGAUCGGUUUGGAUUUUAAAUUUUCUCCAAUCCAUUUACUCUCCUAAUUACAUGUGGGUCUGUAGUGAUUUCAUUUCUAAACUACAACAAUCCGUCUCAGUCCAAUUCUUGUAUAAUGAGCACUAUUAUUGGGAGACUUGAAUAGAACUUUAUAUUCACAAAAUCUUGAAAAUCUGUUGGUUGAAAGCUUGCUU